Long non-coding RNA from Calliphora vicina (urban bluebottle blowfly), 1300 nucleotides. RefSeq lists it as uncharacterized. The transcript is spliced from 2 exons. The record is from RefSeq and is a predicted model, not a curated record. Lineage: Eukaryota; Metazoa; Arthropoda; Insecta; Diptera; Calliphoridae.
AAUAAGUAAAGCCCUCAUUAUUCAAUUGUCUACACUAUAUUAAGUUUUAAUACUUAUUUGUAUAAUUUUUCAUUUUAGUUUUUUGACAUUUGUUAAGACCAAUUGUUGUUUUUGUAGAACUGCCACCACCUUGUAUGAAUUCGCCUUGGCUAGGUUAAUUGGAUUGCAAGACAUGCAAGAAUUUUUGAUUAUUUAAUUUUUACAUUUAAAAAAAAUAAAAAAUGUAUCAUAUUUUGUUCAAUAAAAGAGCUAUAAUAAUUAAAUUUUACCAUCCGGCAUCUCAUAAAAACAAUAAUUUUCCGUAACCAAUGUGACAUAUAAACAAUGCUAUGGAUUCAGAUAUCAAACAUAUACUUUUUGAUACAUUUUCAUCUGAUGAUGGGACAUUUAAAAUAAAUAGCAAAAUCGUGCAUAACUUAUCAACACAUUUUGUGUUCGAAUAUAAGUGGAAUGAGAUGGAAAACUUAAUGAAAAUGUUCGUUUUAUUUUUUGAAAGCUUAUUUAUAUAUGGAGAUCGAUUUGUACAACCCUUGAAUGAAAAUCCAUUACAAAUUAUAUAUAAUAACUCACUGAAUACUACAAAUUUUAUUACUCUAACAACAUACAUAUUAAAACAACCAACAAUUAUAAAAUAUGGUAUCAUUUUAGAUAACAUAUUAAGCUGUGUCAAAAAAUGUACAAAGUAUAGUAUUGAUAAUCAUAUAUUUUCUCAUAAUGUUGAAAUUCUCAAUGUAAACAGGAAAAAAAUGUAUGCUAUAAUGGAGCGCAUUUUUGUUCUUCCUUGUUCAGAUAUAGAAAAUGCCAUAGAUAGAAUUAUAACGAAUGUUGGCUUCGAAAUUUUGGGAUACGCUUUUUGUGAACCUCCUAUUAGUAUUUAUUUCGAUAAGUGUACCGUUUUAGGAGAUAUUAUAUGUAAUAAAAUUGAAAACUCUGCCAAAUCUGUUACUAAAUUCUUUAUUCCAUCAAUAUUGUUGGUAUCUAGCUCAAAGCUUGGAAUGCGUCUCUAUGAGAAGUGUCUCAAAAACCAGCAAUUUUAUUCUAGCUUAAAUAUAUUUUUUAAAAACUAUUUAAGGGAUUUAGAAAGUUUAAAUAGUACACUAUUUAAAGGUCACACAUUUUCACAUAUAAUGUACAUACACUUUAACGAAAAAAAUAAAGCUAAUUUGGACAUUUUUAAUGGCAUAGAUUUAAGCUUAUUUAAAUUUAUUCGGGACUAUUUAUCACUCAUAAACAUAUUGUAUAUCUAAACCAUUAAUAAAGUAUGUAUAUGCAAAUUUGUAAUGCUUAAAUAAAUUGAAAA